Molecule: non-coding RNA, 54 nt
Organism: Salmo salar (Atlantic salmon)
Lineage: Eukaryota; Metazoa; Chordata; Actinopteri; Salmoniformes; Salmonidae
Source: Rfam
UACAAACUUGACUGUAUAUCGCUUUGGAUAAAAGUGUCUGCUAAAUGGCAUAUA